Molecule: long non-coding RNA, 681 nt
Organism: Pygocentrus nattereri (red-bellied piranha)
Lineage: Eukaryota; Metazoa; Chordata; Actinopteri; Characiformes; Serrasalmidae
Exons: 3
Source: RefSeq, a predicted model, not a curated record
UUUGUGUUUUAGGUGUUUUGUGAGUGCUUCUUUUAACUUAGUUGUACAAAGGAUUCAUUAUUUGUACCACCUGGAGCGUCAAACAGCCUCACAGGUCAGUGUUGGACAGAAGGCUGAGAGAGAAAACGGUGAUGACAGAGCUGGAACUGCACUUUACCUACUUUAACAACUCGAAUACCUUUAGAGUGAGGCUCAUAGACAUUAACAUCCAGUUGGCAGCACAAACCGAGCAGUGGAGCUCAAAACCAGACUCUCCAGUCCAAAACCAGAGAGCUGGCAGCCUCCUCUCGGAGCUGUUGGCUGCGGUGAUGUUCGCAGAGGUUUGGUGAGCAACAGUGAAGUGGGGCAGCAGCCCCGCCCGUCACCUCUGGACCAUUACGGCCCUGUACGGCUGCGACCGUGUGAGAUGAGAGCUCAUGAUUCACGUUCUUCUGCUGCUCAGGCCGUGUAUGGUCAGCCGAACUGUCAACUGUGCCACCACCGUGUCAGUGUAACUGUUAUGCUGACUAAGACCUACCAGCUAUACACACUCUGGUUAGCAGUGGCUCCGUGAUGGUCCCUUUCCAAUUACGACUGGGGUAGUGGUGCUUAUAAAUUGUACCAUAUAGGCUUUAGUUAGUAACUGCAAAUGUACAAAGUGAACCCAUGUAGUUGGUGUUUCCAAUAAAAUGGCAAAUGUGU